UUUUCAGCUAAAUCUCUCUCCUUCUUCAGCCAUGGCAGAGCAAGAAGCCCAUAAGGUCGAGGUUGAGGCCACUUCCCCGGCGCCACCGCCCGUUGCGGCGCCGCCGACGCCAGCGGUGGAGCCCACCAAGGACGUUGCGGAGGAGAAGGCCGUUAUUCCGUCGCCUGCAGAGGACAAGCCCGACGAUUCUAAAGCCCUCGCCAUCGUCGAGAAGAUUGAAGAUCCUCCUGCUGCCGAGAAAAUUUCAGGGGGUUCAAAUGAUAGAGAUGCUGCCCUAACACGAAUUGAAACUGAGAAAAGGUUGUCUUUAAUCCGAGCUUGGGAGGAUAAUGAGAAGACUAAAGCUGAGAAUAAGGCUCAGAAGAACCUGGCAGGGAUUACUUCAUGGGAGAACUCAAAGAAAUCAGCUAUAGAGGCUCAGCUGAAAAAAAUUGAGGAAUCUCUAGAAAAGAAGAAAGCAGAAUAUGCUGAAAAGAUGCAGAACAAGAUAGCUAUGCUUCACAAGACAGCAGAAGAGAAGAAAGCUAUGGUUGAGGCUAAGCGAGGCGAGGACUUACUCAAAGCAGAAGAGAUGGCCGCUAAGUACCGGGCAAAAGGGGAGGCUCCGAAGAAGCUUUUUGCUUGCUUCGGUUGAUACAACAGAAUGAGAAAUUAUGCCGAGCUGCGAUAUAUAUGCAAUUUGUCUUGAUUCACGUGUGGGUUUGGAGUUGAUUUUUUUUCUUCAGGUAGGCUUCUACUGAACAGUUGAUUCCGUCUUUGUUUGUGAAAAAUGUGUAUGUUGUUGUAUAUACAUGUGUCCGUUAGGACAAAUGUGUGAUGGUGUAAAUUCGUGUAUUCUUUUGCUAUGACUUUCUUAGCAUUCAUGUAAUCAAAUAUGAGUUG
Molecule: unclassified non-coding RNA, 882 nt
Filed under: Hevea brasiliensis (rubber tree)
Lineage: Eukaryota; Viridiplantae; Streptophyta; Magnoliopsida; Malpighiales; Euphorbiaceae
Source: RNAcentral